AUUGAACGCUGGCGGCAGGCAUAACACAUGCAAGUCGAGCGGAGAUGAGGUGCUUGCACCUUAUCUUAGCGGCGGACGGGUGAGUAAUGCUUAGGAAUCUGCCUAUUAGUGGGGGACAACAUUCCGAAAGGAAUGCUAAUACCGCAUACGUCCUACGGGAGAAAGCAGGGGAUCUUUGGACCUUGCGCUAAUAGAUGGGCCUAAGUCGGAUUAGCUAGUUGGUGGGGUAAAGGCCUACCAAGGCGACGAUCUGUAGCGGGUCUGAGAGGAUGAUCCGCCACACUGGGACUGAGACACGGCCCAGACGCCUACGGGAGGCAGCAGUGGGGAAUAUUGGACAAUGGGGGGAACCCUGAUCCAGCCAUGCCGCGUGUGUGAAGAAGGCCUUAUGGUUGUAAAGCACUUUAAGCGAGGAGGAGGCUACUGAGACUAAUACUCUUGGAUAGUGGACGUUACUCGCAGAAUAAGCACCGGCUAACUCUGUGCCAGCAGCCGCGGUAA
This 501-nucleotide ribosomal RNA is filed under the name uncultured bacterium. RNAcentral describes it as "partial 16S ribosomal RNA". It matches the Rfam family "Bacterial small subunit ribosomal RNA", at positions 30 to 523 of the family's 1533-position model. The record is from RNAcentral.